CCUACGUGAGGCUGCAGUGGGGAAAAUUGCACAAUGGGGGAAACCCUGAUGCAGCGACGCCGCGUGAGUGAAGAAGUAAUUCGUUAUGUAAAGCUCUAUCAGCAGGGAAGAAAAUGACGGUACCUGAGUAAGAAGCCCCGGCUAACUACGUGCCAGCAGCCGCGGUAAUACGUAGGGGGCAAGCGUUAUCCGGAUUUACUGGGUGUAAAGGGAGCGUAGACGGCAGUGCAAGUCUGGAGUGAAAGGCGGGGGCUCAACCCCCGGACUGCUCUGGAAACUGUACGGCUGGAGUGCAGGAGAGGUAAGUGGAAUUCCUAGUGUAGCGGUGAAAUGCGUAGAUAUUAGGAGGAACACCAGUGGCGAAGGCGGCUUACUGGACUGUAACUGACGUUGAGGCUCGAAAGCGUGGGGAGCAAACAGGAUUAGAUACCCUAGUAGUC
RNAcentral lists this ribosomal RNA (440 nucleotides) under uncultured bacterium. RNAcentral's name for it is "partial 16S ribosomal RNA". It matches the Rfam family "Bacterial small subunit ribosomal RNA", at positions 338 to 795 of the family's 1533-position model. The record is from RNAcentral.